AUUGAACGCUGGCGGAAUGCUUUACACAUGCAAGUCGAACGGCAGCACGGACUUCGGUCUGGUGGCGAGUGGCGAACGGGUGAGUAAUGUAUCGGAACGUGCCCAGUCGUGGGGGAUAACGUAGUGAAAAUUACGCUAAUACCGCAUACGAUCUAUGGAUGAAAGCGGGGGAUCGCAAGACCGCGCGCGAUUGGAGCGGCCGAUAUCAGAAUAGGUAGUUGGUGGGGUAAAGGCCCACCAAGCCAACGAUCUGUAGCUGGUCUGAGAGGACGACCAGCCACACUGGAACUGAGACACGGUCCAGACUCCUACGGGAGGCAGCAGUGGGGAAUUUUGGACAAUGGGCGAAAGCCUGAUCCAGCCAUUCUGCGUGCAGGAUGAAGGCCCUCGGGUUGUAAACUGCUUUUGUACAGAACGAAAAGGUUUCUACUAAUACUAGGAGCUCAUGACGGUACUGUAAGAAUAAGCACCGGCUAACUACGUGCCAGCAGCCGCAGUAA
This 500-nucleotide ribosomal RNA is filed under the name uncultured bacterium. RNAcentral describes it as "partial 16S ribosomal RNA". It matches the Rfam family "Bacterial small subunit ribosomal RNA", at positions 30 to 523 of the family's 1533-position model. The record is from RNAcentral.